This is a long non-coding RNA of Eriocheir sinensis (Chinese mitten crab), 1675 nucleotides long. RefSeq lists it as uncharacterized. NCBI's taxonomy places the organism in Eukaryota, Metazoa, Arthropoda, Malacostraca, Decapoda, Varunidae. The transcript has 2 exons. The record is from RefSeq and is a predicted model, not a curated record.
AUCCAAUCUUCCAUGCUAGACUGAUACAGUUUCCAUUAUAACUACUCUCUUGUAUGUUCAGUGUACUCACAUUGUUGUUUUCUUUUUCUAAACUUUGCUAGUUUUCAUGGGAGGAUUGGAAGAAUAUCAUGUCAUCAUUUACGCGAAAUUAAAACAUUUCCUAGAAAAAGAACAUAUUAGACAGAUGGGUGAACUAGAAAAGGCUGAAGAUUAUUUUGAUGAUCAUAUAAGUUGUUGAUUCUAAAACUGCAGGUGAGGCGAGAGAAGUCACCACACCUGCGAUCCCAAACAACCCCCAAGACCAGUUCAUCAUCCUUAGCCCGGCCAAGCGUCACCGAGAGUGAAUUUGACUCCCUCAUGGAGCUAGAUAUCAUGAAGGCCACAACAGAAAUGGGCUUUCCAGCUGACAAAGUUCGACCAGCUCUACGGAGGAGGCUAGAGCAGACAGGCCUGCCCUUCUUCAACCUGGAUGCUUGCAUCGAGGCCGUCCAGCAGUACAUGGAAGAGGAAACUCGCCUGGCCCUCUCGGAGUCAUCGGCUACAUCCAACAACUCCCCUCGUGCUGUGAUGGAGAAGGAGGCCGAGAAGGCACUUCCCUCUACCGAGCCUUUAAUCAAUGGGAGGCCACAGCCGUGUAAGUAUAAGUUGAAAAUGUUAGCUCCUACAAAGGCAUUGAUGUGAGCUUCCUUUUUGUUACAAUAGUGAAGCACUGUAAAAAAACUCUUGUCCAAUAUGUGUAUUAUACAUAAUAUGGAGGUCAUACAUUAAUCCACGCCAAAGGGGGAAGGAGGAGGCGAGGAGGGAAGGCGUUGAGAGCCGCCUAUCAGUCGAGCUCUCGCCUCUCCUUACGCAGGUAUGUGUGAAAUUAACUCCUACGGACAGUGAUUAUUUAGUGUGUUACAGUGUUAUUAUUAUACCUAUAACGGUCAAACUCAGACGAGCUCUGGCCUCUCCCUACGCAGGUCCCCUACUGACUGGGCGGUUACCCCCUUGUUGUGUAGUAAAAUAUGUAAAGUUUCCCUUUGUUGUGCCGAUCUAUGAUCACCCUCUGGUAUCUUAGACCCGCACGAAUGUCUCACGCCAUGAUUAACUCAGUAAUAGAAAAGGAGAAAUUUUUAGUGUCAUUUGUAUAAUCCAAUGUUUGUGUGGAUUCAUGACCACCUUCUUGGUGUCCUGAACCCCCACGACUACCUUGCUUCCAUGAUCAUCCCUGUGAAUACAUAUCAGUGGAAGGAAAACAUUUUUCUGUGAUAAUUAUGUAUCAUUGGACCGUGAUUAGGGUAGCUUGUUAUUUAGCAACGGUAAGGUGUUUAAGCUAUGGCCAGUGUACCAUAUCUACUAUAUAGUUGUAAAUGUCUGAAGAGAUGAGUGAGCCCUUUAAGGUGAAGAGGAGUGAUGAAUGAUAAUUAUUAAUUAGUAUUGUUACAUAACUCCAGCCAGCUCGCUACCAUUACCAACAGAAUGAUGAAUUGUAAAUAAUAUUGUUACAUAACUCCAGUAAGCUCGCUACCAUUACCAACAGCAUGAUGAAUUGUAAAUAAUAUUGUUGCUUAACUCCAGUAAGCUCGCUACCAUUACCAACAGCAUGAUGAAUUGUAAAUAAUAUUGUUGCUUAACUUCAAUAAGCUCGCUACCAUUAUAUACCAACAUAGUGUGAAUAAACCUCAUAAUUUAA